This 448-nucleotide long non-coding RNA is filed under the name Lepisosteus oculatus (spotted gar). RNAcentral's name for it is "lncRNA (ENSLOCG00000023193.1)". Lineage: Eukaryota; Metazoa; Chordata; Actinopteri; Semionotiformes; Lepisosteidae. The record is from RNAcentral.
UGCUAAUCCAUUCCACGCUCUCCAGAAUUUCUCACUGCCUCUCACUGCUGUGCCAGAUUAAUUUAAAUGUAUCUGUUGAGGUGGAGAUAAUCAAUGCAAAUCACUGGCACCGGGCUUCGCAAAUAGAGUAUGUUUGAUUCACGAAGAGGCCUUAGCUAUAGAAGGUCACUCCUUCACUAGUUUUUUUUUUCUCCCCCAGAACUCGUUGUCUAAAGUGAUUGAACAGACAGAAUUUUACUGUAUCGUCUGCCUUGUUUUACCUGCGGCAGCCCUUCCGAGGAUCUACCUUUCACCCCUGCCUGUUCAGAAAGCAACCUGCAAUUGAACAAAAGGAUCCUUUACUUCCACUUGUGUAUUCUCUACUAUGAGCACUGAUAGCUCCCACCACAGAAAAAUACUGUAAGUAUGGACAGGCUGGCAUGCCCUGCUCUAAACCUCGCCGUGAAAG